CCUACGGGUGGCAGCAGUGAGGAAUAUUGGUCAAUGGACGCAAGUCUGAACCAGCCAUGCAGCGUGCAGGAAGACGGCCCUAUGAGUUGUAAACUGCUUUUGUACGGGGGUAAACGCAGUCACGUGUAUCUGGUUGCAUGUACCGUAUGAAUAAGGAUCGGCUAACUCCGUGCCAGCAGCCGCGGUAAUACGGAGGAUUCAAGCGUUAUCCGGAUUUAUUGGGUUUAAAGGGAGCGUAGGCGGUUUGAUAAGUUAGUUGUGAAAGUCCGCGGCUCAACCGUGGAACUGCAGUUGAUACUGGCAGGCGUGAGUAUAGUUGAGGUAGGCGGAAUGUGUGGUGUAGCGGUGAAAUGCUUAGAGAUCACGAAGAACACCGAUUGCGAAGGCAGCUUACUAAACUAUGACUGACGUUGAGGCGCGAAAGCGUGGGGAGCAAACAGGAUUAGAUACCCUUGUAGUC
Molecule: ribosomal RNA, 460 nt
Filed under: uncultured bacterium
Lineage: Bacteria
Description: partial 16S ribosomal RNA
Rfam family: Bacterial small subunit ribosomal RNA
Source: RNAcentral